Molecule: unclassified non-coding RNA, 234 nt
Filed under: Hevea brasiliensis (rubber tree)
Lineage: Eukaryota; Viridiplantae; Streptophyta; Magnoliopsida; Malpighiales; Euphorbiaceae
Source: RNAcentral
CGACAAGGGCAAGUUGCAAGCAGCCAUGACACACAUCCCUGCGGAGUAAAGGAUUAAAUGUCUGGCUGGAAACCUGAUUGUGCUUUAAGCAAUAAGUUCUUUGUGUUGUUCUAAGGAAAUCCAAAUGUUAUGGUUUAGAAAUACAGCAGCCAUGUUUAUACAAUAGGCCUUGUGGCCCUGCGGAAACUUGUUAAUAAUUAAUUAUGAAUGCAAUCCUUCUUGUGAUGGAUUUCC